This is a non-coding RNA of Pelobates cultripes (western spadefoot toad), 510 nucleotides long. NCBI's taxonomy places the organism in Eukaryota, Metazoa, Chordata, Amphibia, Anura, Pelobatidae. The record is from the annotation of a GenBank genome assembly.
GGGACUUCCUUGUGUUCGCGGCCAUUUUAGCUCCUGAACAGCGGUGUUUGCCCUUGAAUGUCUGGAACUGAAAACGGACACUCAAACAGGCGAACACCGCUGAAGCCUCCAGACAUUCGGUAAAACCCCUUCCAAACUACCGAACGACUGGGCGUUCGGUAGAAAGACUUACCAACAGAUGGGGAAUCAAGCGAACCAAGGAUGGUAGCUGGAUGGCCGGCCGUUCGGGAGGUUUUUCAUGCGAUCUAAGACCGACUGCAGGGCCAGAAUUCAUGGAACAGUUUUCGGCUACUUUGCCCGUGCAGUCGGUCAAAACUUCUAAGUCCUAUAUCUCCCGAACGGCUGAACCGAAUGGACUGAGUUUUUAAUAUGUUGGUUUCCCAGACAAUAGCUAUCUGGAGACACCUUGGGGUACAUCCAAACUUUGGGGAAUUUCUGUUACGUUUUAAUUGUGUUUAAUGGUUAUCUGAGGGGAGGAGAUGUACAGUAUGUAUAUUGUUAGGAUUGGAU